GACGAACCGUGCGACCGUUAUUCGGAAUCACUGGGCUUAAAGCGCGUGUAGGCGGGCCGGCACGUCCGUGGCUGAAAGCCCCCGGCUCAACCGGGGAACGGGCCCGGAUACGACCGGCCUGGAGGGGGGUAGGGGGAGCCGGAACUUCCGGUGGAGCGGUGAAAUGCGUAGAUAUCAGGAGGAACACCGGUGGCGAAGGCGCACAUCUGGCCCGAUACUGACGCUGAGGCGCGAAAGCUAGGGGAGCAAACGGG
RNAcentral lists this ribosomal RNA (254 nucleotides) under uncultured bacterium. RNAcentral's name for it is "partial 16S ribosomal RNA". It matches the Rfam family "Bacterial small subunit ribosomal RNA", at positions 524 to 776 of the family's 1533-position model. The record is from RNAcentral.